Ornithodoros turicata is the source of this 527-nucleotide long non-coding RNA. RefSeq lists it as uncharacterized. The record is from RefSeq and is a predicted model, not a curated record. The transcript is spliced from 5 exons. Lineage: Eukaryota; Metazoa; Arthropoda; Arachnida; Ixodida; Argasidae.
GUCUCACAAUAUUUCACAUAUGAGUACGAUUUGAGUAUCGUUAGCAUGACGCACGCGCCUGUAUCAAAUUUCCAGCGAACAACGGUCUAAAACGCCCUCGACUUCAAGAAAGGGGAAGCUUUGAAGCUUUCGACUUCAAGAAAGACAGGAGUCGUCGUAACUUCUCCACAAAAACGCCCCUGUUCUCAGACGCUCUUGCAGGAUCGUGGAGGUUGUACACUUGAGAAUCAUGAAGACAGCCCUUUGCCUGAUCCUCUGUAUCACAGUUCUGGCAACUCGGGCACAUGGAUAUCAGGGACCUCGCUGCAAGUCCCCGGAGGAUCCGGUGUGCAACGUCUACUGCCAUGACACGUUUCCUGGAGAGACCCUGCAAGGCUACUGCUAUAGGUGGGAAUGCGGGUGCCUUGUCGUUCAACCCCCAUAUCAUGGCAGAAGAUCAAGAUGGUUCUGAAGUCACCCGAAGGAAUCUUUGAAGCGUACGACGCUCAGCAAGUUUUUACGUGAAUUAAAGCUGCAUGGAAGGCCUU